Molecule: long non-coding RNA, 1047 nt
Organism: Cyprinus carpio (common carp)
Lineage: Eukaryota; Metazoa; Chordata; Actinopteri; Cypriniformes; Cyprinidae
Source: Ensembl
AUGUCUGCCAAGCCAGAGUCCACUAACAUCAUGUCUGCUACCCCAGGGUUUACUCACAUCAUGCCAGUCUCUCAAGAGAUUCUCCACAACAUGGCCGCCAUUCCAGAGUCUCGUCACGACAUGGCAGCCAUUCCAGAGUCUCGUCACACCAUUUCUGAGUCUACUUACGUCAUGCCUGUCAAGCCAGAGCCUUCACACAAGAUGGCCGCCACGCCUGAGUCCCCGGCCAAGAUGGCCGCCACGCCUGAGUCCCCGGCCAAGCCUGAGUCUCGCCAUGUCAUGGCUGUCACAGAGACUGUUCCCGUGACCUCAGUGCUUCCAGUAAUGGCAGUCGCCAUUUUGAGCAUGUGGGCUGCUCACUGUGCUCCAGAGAUCUCCCCUGUCCACGAGUCUGCUCCUGAGGCCACUCCUGGCCGUGAAUUCACUCCAGUGCCCCCAGAGGCGACGGUGUCCACUGCAGAACCUCCCGAGGAGGCGGCUUCCACUGCAGAACCUCCUGAGGUGGUGGCACCCACCUUUGAACUCUCUGCCCAUCCUGUCAGGGCCAAGGAGGCCGUCCACAAACUCUCUGCCUGUCCUGUCACGGCCAAAGAAGCCAUUCACAAACUUACUGUCUGUCCUGUCAUGGCCACGGAGGCCGUUCACGGACUCACUGUCUGUUCUGUCAUGACCAAGUGGUCUGUCCACGUCUCUGCUCCACCAUGGCUUCCUGCUCUGCGGGCACUGCCUAGACACCCCGCUCUGCCUGCUCCGCCAUGGCUCCCUGCUCUGCCUGCUCCGUCAUGGCUCCCCAGUAGGCCUGCUCCGCCAUGGCUCCAUACUGCUCUGGAUCUGCUCCACGGCCCAGGGCCCCCUUUACUCCAUUGUCUGUCACUGCUCCAAGGCCCAGGUCCCCCUCUGCUCCAUUGUCUGUCAUUGCUCCACCCUCCAGGUUCUGUUCCUUUUCACAGGCCUGGACCUCAAUCCCUCCCCCUGUUCCGCCUCCGCUCCACCACCCUCCUGAAUUUCUUGGGUUUUGUUUGUUUGGGCGUCAGGAGCCACCCUUAG